GGAAGACCAGUUUGUUCUUUUUUGCAAAAGAAACUGGUGGGGCUUUGGGAUUAAGUUCCUCCCAGAGAUACUGGGCAUGGAGAGGAAAGAUUUUCAUGAGUGAAGGCAUCGACGCCGGACAGCGUGGCUUAUGCAAAGUUCCUUACCGGCCAUGUAGGAGAAGGCUCAAGAGCUUGAAGACUCGUACGGCCAGAUUUGGGAACAGCUUCUUUCCAACUGUGAUAAAGACUGCUGAACGGAUCCUGACCUGGAUCUGGGCCAUACCCUCCAAAUAUCCGGACCUGCCUCUCAGAUGGAAGUACAGAAGACUGCUGAAAUCAGGAGCAACAAAGACCUGUUGAAGGAAUUCUGUGGGCUGAGGAGCAUCUGGGAAGGGUGGAAGAAUUUUGGAUGAACACCUUGCAUCAGGAUGAAUGACGAUGCUAUUCAGUCCACUGAGUUCCUCCAGCAGACCGUUGCAUGAGAAAUUUCACAUUUCUCAGGAUGUGAAAGGAGAACACGACGGAGUGUAUGCUGACUCUCAGAGCAAUCUCAUCAAUCCCAUUCUCUCAAUUAUUUUUCCAUAAACUCACAAGCCCUUCAAUUUCCCUUAAAACCCCCUGUCACUGACCUCCACAAGGGACAAUUUAUAGGGGUCAAUCAACCGAACAAUUGGCACUUGUUUGGGAUUGGUGAUAAAGCCAGUGCCCCCAAGGGAAACUGAUUCUGUCACAUGCAAACUCCACAAAGAGGCCAGGAUCAAACCCAGCUCCUGGAGUUGGAGGCAGCAACACUAACCGCUGAACCACCAAGCUUCAUGUUUCACAAAGCGACAUCUUAAUGGAAAACAUGGAAAGGAUGUGAGAAGUUGGUAGGAGCGCGGAUAAAUUUUGUGCUCCUACUUCAUUAAACAUUUCAAUCCUUAGUAUCUGUUAAGUUAAAUAAGCAUUGCUUUACUGUACAUUUGGGCACAGUGAUAAGCAAUAGACUAGUGCAUUGCUAUUGCUUUCACACAUCCUGAGGUAUUUUUCUUUGAUGGUGACAUUGAUAAUAGGAAGUAACAGCAUUGUAACUUAUAAUAUGCUCGUAACUCAAAUCAAAUUUAUGUUUAAAUCCAAAAG
Molecule: long non-coding RNA, 1100 nt
Organism: Mobula hypostoma (lesser devil ray)
Lineage: Eukaryota; Metazoa; Chordata; Chondrichthyes; Myliobatiformes; Myliobatidae
Exons: 5
Source: RefSeq, a predicted model, not a curated record